UCUCCUUUGAUUUUGGACCAGUUAAUUUAUUUGAUGUGAAAAGCUUUAGCUGGCACUUAAAUUGAGACACUUUUGAUUUUUAAAGAUUUGGUUUUUAAAAAUUGCAUGAAUGUAACAUGAAAAAAGCCUCGCUGUUUCUAGAAGGCAAACCUAAAGAUUGAAGGGGAGGUUUUUCUCCACAUGAAAACAUGAAGAGUCUUAAGUCCUAUCUUCUAACCAGAAGGAUUCGGGCUAACCCUUUCCUUCUGAAUCCAUCUUUCACCAACCUUAAUGGUAUUGAGAGAUGUAACAUACCAUUCUUUCUUCCUGAUUCAUUCUGCUUGGGCACUCUCUUGUUCUUUCUGUACACAAAACCAUUUCACUGAUGGGUUGUUGUUUAAUCUGAGAAAUACUGUAAUUCUUAACACUUUUGGCUACAGCCUCCCAGUGUCGCUAAAUAAUAUUUACUGAAUAUAUGCACUAGAGGCCAUUUAAGACGUUCAUACUUGUACAUAAACAUUAGCUUGGCCCUGGAAGGGAGGAGUGAGUGAGAAACUCAAGAUUACCUCACCUUAAUUACCUGCUGUGAGAAAAGGCUGAAAAGGGAAUCAAUGUCGAGCUUUUAAGAGAACCAAGGCUUCACAGUUUAACCCUGAGAUACAUACAUACACAUCUCUUCUAUUGGAAUCACUUGCUUUUGGUUGUAUUGGGUCUAAAAACAUUUAUUAAUCACAGCCUGCAAUUUUUCCUUUAAACUAUGGAAUAAUUGAUGAUGGAAACUAUAAAAAGGCAGAAACAUUAUGCUCCUAAUUCUAUUUUAUUCUGUUUUCUAAUUUUUUCAGAUUAGCAGUUCAGAGAAGAGUUCCAAAUAUCCUUGAGAAGCCACUAUAAAUAGAAUAUUUUCAUCCGAACUAUCUUUUUUUUUUCACUUGCUCAGAUCAUUAGGUUCCAUUGAAUAAUAAUUUUGUUAUUUGGAUUUCA
Pseudonaja textilis is the source of this 960-nucleotide non-coding RNA. The record is from RefSeq and is a predicted model, not a curated record. Lineage: Eukaryota; Metazoa; Chordata; Lepidosauria; Squamata; Elapidae.